Molecule: non-coding RNA, 8866 nt
Organism: Rattus norvegicus (Norway rat)
Lineage: Eukaryota; Metazoa; Chordata; Mammalia; Rodentia; Muridae
Source: RefSeq, a predicted model, not a curated record
GGUCACAUCUGUAAUCGUGGUUCUGCUCCAGUUAUAAAACACCAUGACCAGAUGCCUCAGUUAGGAUUUCUUAUACCUUGAAGAGACACCGUGACCACAGCAACCCUUAUAAAGGAAAAUAUUUAACUAAGAGUGGCUUAUAGGUUCUGUGGUUCGGUCCAUUAUCAUCAUGGUGAGAAGCAUAAUGUCAUGGUGCUGGAUGGGUAACUGAGAGUUUUACAUCUGUAACUGCAGGCAGAAGGGAAAGAAAGAGAGAGAGGAGAGGAGAGGAGAGGAGAGGAGAGAGAGAGAGAGAAAGAGAGAGAGAGAGAGAGAGAGAGAGAGAGAGAGAGAUCCUACUUGAGAAUCCGAAACCUCUAAUUCCAUCCGCAGUGACACACUUCUUAGAAGAAAGCCACACCCACUCCAACAAAGCCACGCCUCCCAACAGUGCCACUCCCUGUGGGCCUGUAGGGGUCAUUUUCAUCGAAACAACCACAUAGAGCAAUUCGCAGAAGGAAAAUUAUAUGGCUUAUUGUCCCAGACAGUCAGGGACCAUCGUGGCAGCGACAGAUGGCAUGGGAUAGUAAAGGCAUGGAGGUUGGAACUUGAGGCUUUGAACUUGUAAGCACGGAGGAAAGAUUCCACCCUCCGUCACGAACUUCCUCCAGAGAGGCUGCACGAGCUAAUCUUCCCCAAACGGUGCCAUCAACUGGGGACUAACUGUUCAAAUGCCUGACGUUAUGGGAAAAUCUCUCACUGAAACCAUUAUUGGAGUUCAGCAAGCCUGUGCUCUGUGAGGAUGCUGACCUCAGAGCUGUAUGACAGAAUUUGAAGGGAGCUAUGCUCAACUUCCCACAUCACAUAAAGGUGAUUUAGCAUCUCGCUGGUAUCCCUUGAGGAUCUUGGAGCCACUGAUGAGGAAUCAAAGCCAUGAAGAUGCACAAUCACUCCAUGAAAGGACUAGACGUGGCAGAAGUGGGGUGGCAGCCUCUAGCUUGCCAUGUCUUCUGAGUCAGACUGGCUGUGCAUAGUGACAAGGAGCUAUGAAAAACUAUGUUCUCAGAGAAAGCUGAGCAGCAUUUGAAGACGUUCACCUUCCCAGCAAGGGGCCUUGCUGCUACCAUCGGUCCAUUAUUCACACUGGAAAUUAGACACCAGGAACUGGAGAAGAUUGUUUUCUUUUGUUGUUUGGUCUUUUUUUUUUAAAUUUAUGGUUAGAGACAAUGUAUCCUUCAUGGAUAUAUAUCAUACAUAUACAUAUGUAUAUGUAUAUAAAUUUGUGUAAUACAUUUGCUAUUUUUAGAUUUUAAUAAAGAGUAUUUUAAGCUCAAUGUUAAUAAAUUAAUACUUACACUGUAAUGUGUGGUGAGGCUAUGUGUAUAACAAAAGCAAUGACUGUGGGUGCAGAUCUGAUAUCCUCUAACAUGAAAUAUGGAAAGUGGGUGGUAGAGAUGGGCAAAUGAAUGCUCAUAGGGGGAAAGCAUCUACAGAGGAGGGUUGCACUAAUUAAUCAGAGUUAUAACUCAAAAUAUGUGCAUGUAAGGAUCUUAGAAAUAAUACUGUGCAACUACCUGUACAGUGUUGGAUAAGGUGGUUUAUAUUUUUAAUUAAUCAUUGGUUAUAAGAAAAAGUACCAUUUCUUACAUUGGUGUGUAAGAAAGCAGAGAGUUGAGUCUUACUGCGGUGUUAUUUCUGACACAAAGUGCACACCCCAACUCUACAGGAAUGCCAGAAAAUUACUAAGGACUUUCUACAAGAACAACCGCCUGUACACAGUGCAAACAUUCAGGUGAAGAAAUGGGAGGUGACAAAAUGGGAGGAACUGUUCACACUGAAAGAGAUAAGAUAUUUGGCAAAAAAAAAAGUGUAAUGUAUGAUCUCAAAAAGAGACACUCUUCUGGAGAGAUUAACUGCUACUGAGAGACAAUUGAAACACAUUUGAAGAUGGACUCUGGAUUACAUAGUAGUGUUAUAUCAAUGCUAAAUUCACUACUUACAACUUUCCAUUAGUUGUUCAUCAUUUUUAUUUAGGAAAAUAAAUUGAGCCAUUGACAACGGGGAUAAACUCUGCAAUUUACUGUCAACGUUUGACAAAAGCAAUAUUGACAUGUUACCUAGAAUGUCAGAGCAACUGGCAUGACUUGUGAACCUGAUGUGCCCACAGCCCUGUGCUACUCCAAUUUCUUCCUUAGAACGUCUAUGGAAUUAAGAGAUAGCAGAGAAAUGCUUUUUGCAUGUUAAGGCAUGAGGCAGCCCAUCUUAGACUUCUUACGGUGUAUGAAAAGGGUAGCAAGGUUUAAAUCCUAUAGCGCUCUGUCCAGAAGUUCAAAGAAACAAUUCCUAGCAGUCCAACUAGGCCUCUAUGGAAGGUCUUUUCUUUGUUUCGUUUCAAUUCUAUCUGCUUUUUAAAGUUUUAAUGGGUUUUUGAGGAUUCCGUACAAUAUAUUUUGGUACUAUUCAUUCUUUAUCCCCCAACUUCUUUCAGAUCUAUACCUGUCUUUGCUUUGUUUUGUUUCUUAACGCUCGGGUCCAGUAUGUGCUACCCACAUGUUCUUAGAUGUGUGCCCUUCCUCUUAUAAAUAAGACUGACUUUCCUUUGUCACACAACUACCAUUUGCCAGUAGUUCUUCGGUGACGGGUGGGAUGUCAGGCCACCUUCCAUUUCCAGGAUGGUAUUUGGUCUGACUGGGCUAGUAUAGACCGUGAGCCUGUUCCAUUUAGAACAGAUCCACCGUUCUCUGAUCCUUGAUCAGGUAUGAGACCGUCUGUUAACCAUCAUCUACCAUGAAUAGAAGUCUCUCUGAUAAAAGAUGCAUUCAUCUAUGACAAUACUAGCCAUUAAAAGUUGGUUUAAUGUUAUAUCUGUUUAGCUGAAUAAUCCGGUUCUUCCCUAGGAACUAUACCUUGUUUUGUCAUUGUUUCCUGGCCCCAGUGUAGCAUGAGAUGUCAGUUUCAUUGUACGUAGUGGGACCUAACUCCAUCACAAAGUGGUUGGUUGCCCCCACAACAUCUGUGAUACUAUUACCCCGUUGGGCACGACAUCGUGAGGCCGGUCAUUAUCGUAGCUCAGAGUUCAUAGCUCUGUUAGACUGAUCACUGCUUUUCUUCUCUAGCAUCACGGAUAGCACCUUCCAGCUCCAUGAAAGCCAACCAAUAGAGACGGAGCCUCCAGGUCAGAGCCAUCUUAACCUCUCCGUGUUCUUGACUCAGAUAUGUUGUCGUAUCAGCAAUAACAUCUUAUCAUCAAAUUCUGUAAGGAAACUGAAAUCAUUGCUAAUAGCCUGUAAGGUUUGGGGGGUGAUCCAUUUCUGGCACUGAACUUUUUGCUUGUUUUUUUCUUGGGGGUGGGGCGGGGUGUCUAGCAGGGGCGUUGUUAACCUUUUACACAUAAGUCUACUUUAACUCUUCGUUUAUGUGUAAAUACCACGGAAGGCUUCUACAGUCCUAGCUCACUCUUCAUAUGAUGUUUUCAAAAGCUUGUUAGUGUUUUUUUUAUUCCCCUCCACAACCUCUCCUCUAUCCAACUCUCCCAUCCCCCACCCCAAUUUAAACCCUUCCAUUCCAUCAUUCUUCCAUUAAGCCCUUGUGACCAUUGAAUUCUAUCUCCCCUUCCUUGAAACUCCCCUUACCUAGGGCACUGUACUAAUUUCCUGACUUUGAUAGGUCUUCCAAACAGGCCGUACCUAUCUGAAGAUUCAAAGCCAACACAAACAAAUUAGAGAGUUGUUGCCAUUCAUCCUUCUAAGUCUUACCUCACACAGACUGACCGUUACCACUCCAUCCCUUUACCUGCAACUUUCACGGUUGUUCUUUUCUUGACUGCCGGAAUGAUUUCCCGUUGUGUAAGUAUGCUCCAUGUUCAUUAUCCAUUUGCCAGUUAAUGGACACCUAGACUGAUUUAAGGUCCCUGCCUAUUGUGAAGAGAGCACUAAGGAUCAUGGAUAUGCAGUUAUAUGCAUAUUGAAGUUUUCUAUACGUUGGGAUGUAGAGUCCUUCUGGGUGUGUGUUCAAGAGCGGUUGGUCGAGCCGUUUCAUGUGGUAGAUGUAUUUUUAGCUUCUAGAGGAAGCGCCACAGUCAGUUUCACUAUGGCUGCACAAAUCUGCAUUCCCACCAGCCGUGAGAAUGUUUCCCUUUCCCCAUUUCCACACCGGAAUUGGCCGUCAUUCGUUAUUACGUUUUUUUAAUCUUAGAAAUUCUGAUUUGCGGAAGAUGAACUAUCAAUAAGUAUAGGUUUGCGCUUCCUCGGUGGCAAAGAAUGUGGAUCUUUCAAAUGUUUGUUGUUUGCCGUGAUAUUGGGAUCAUUACUUUUAAGUCUAUUUAGCAUUUUUUAAGAAACAGGAGAGCAGGUACCUUCACAGGUUCACAGACUUUGCUUAGGUGUUGCUUUUGCGGGUGGCGGGGGCGCCAUAGCAGCAGCCAUUGCUGUCUUCCCUGAUGCCUAAUUCAGCCUUUUUUACUUUCGUGGCAGCCCCGAGAGGCCUGUUCUCCCUGCGCAUGUCUGCCCUCUGAUUUCUGAUUCCGUUACAAAGCAGCGAGAAAUGCACCCGUGAUGGCUGGCUUGAAGUUGACUACGUGGCAGGAAUCUUUUCUUUUGAUUUUCUUCCACCUGCCCUUUUUUGUGCUUUAUUUCCUUGGAGGGCAGUUCCGUUUGUCUGCCAAGGGUUCCUUUUGCAAAGGAACAUGGUCCAGCAUUUUUCGUCAAAAACAAAAACAAAAACAAAAACAAAAAACAAACAAACAAAAAAACAAAACAAAAAACAAAACAAAAAAACAAAAAAACUGGAAAACCUCCUAGUGGGUCCUGGCUAAACGCUGUUGGUGUUUUAAGAGCAGCUUGAAUUCAGUGAAAGCGCACAGCUCCGUCUUCACGACAAGGAGGAAACGUUGAUGUAGAACAAUUUUUUAAAGUGUACUUACCAGCCAUUUUUACUGCGUCAUUUCAGAACUCAGUUCAUUUCUACACCUCUUUUUAAAAAUGGCAUAGAUAUUUAGUUUUUCUUGAUGUUUAGUUUUGUAUAUUCUAGAUGCUGGUUUGUACCAUCUGAAUGAUGGUGUCCUUCGCUAUACAGAAGUUUUUGAGUUCCAUAAGGUCCUUUUAUCGUUAGCCUUAAUGUCUGUCUUUUUAGAUGCUCUUAGAUGUGCCAAUGGGUUCAAGUAUAACCCUACUGACUCCUUGUUUAGAUUCAGAGAAUUGGGUGUUAUCUAAGGGCUCGUUCAGUUGGCUUUCCGAUGCUUUGAUAAAUACCCCGACCAAAAGCAGUGUGGAAAAUAAAUUUUCUCUUAUAUUUCCACGCCACUGUCCAUCACUGAGAAAAGUCAGAGAAGGAGUUCAUGAGCCCGGAGGAAGGCACUGAAGCAGAGACACGCAUGGGAGAUUGCUGCUGUCUAAGUUCACAAUUAUGUAUUCUUCUAAUACUUCCUAGGACCUCUUGCCCAUGUAUGGUACUGUCUACGGUGAGCUGGACCCUCCCACAUCAAUUAUUAACUGAGAAAAUAAUGCCCUGUAGAUUUGUCAACCAACCAAUCUGAUAGAAGCAUUUUCUCAGUUAAGUUUCCCUUUUCCGGGAUGACCUUAGUUUGUGUCAAGCUGACAAAAUAUCCAGCAGAAGGUCCUUGAUCCACUUGGAGUUGAGUUUGUGAAGGGCAAGAGGUAUGGGUUUUAUUUUGUUCUUCAACAUUCGGAAUAACCAAACGUAUUUGUUGACGAUGCUUUUUCUCUCCUGUGUAUUGUUGGCUUCUAUGUCAAGUUCAUGUGGUCAGUUUAUGAGUGGGUCUUCAUUCGCAAUUUGCUCAUUGAUGAGUCUAAUUUGUGCCAGUGACAUACUAUUUACUUUAGCUCCAUAGUAAAAUUUAAAAUCAAGGAUGGUGAUUCCUUUUGUGGAUUUCUUAUUGCUGAGUGGGUUUGUUUGUUUGUUUGUUUUAUUUUGAAUUUUUUUUGCUAUCCUAUACCUUUUGUGUUUUCAUAUGAUUGAUAUAUAUCAAUUGGUGGCCAUCUUCAGAAGACUAGUCCUACCGACCCAUGAGCAUGGAAGAUCUUUCCAUCUUCUGGAAUUUUCUUCAGUUUUUUUCCCAUGCCUUAAUUUGUUCAUUGUAUAAGUUUUUCACUUCAUUGAUUCGAUGUGUAAGUGUGAGUGUGUGUGUGUGUGUGUGUAUGUUUACAUGUGUGCUUGUGUGUGUGUAUGUUUGCAUGUGUGAGUGUGUGUGUGUAUGUUUGCAUGUGUGAGUGUGUGUGAGUGUGGGUGCAUGUGUGUAUGUUUACAUGUGUGCUUGUGUGUGUGUAUGUUUGCAUGUGUGAGUGUGUGUGAAUGUGUGUGCAUGUGUGUAUGUUUACAUGUGUGCUUGUGUGUGUGUGUUUGCAUGUGUGAGUGUGUGUGAGUGUGUGUGCAUGUGUGUAUGUUUACUUGUGUGCUUGUGUGUGUGUGUUUGCAUGUGUGAGUGUGUGUGAGUGUGUGCAUGUGUGUAUGUUUGCAUGUGUGCUUGUGUGUGUGUAAGUGUGAGUGUGUGUAAGUGUGAAUGUAUAGGUGUGUGUAUGUUUGCAUAUGAGCUUGUGUGUGUGUGAGUGUAUGGGUGUGUAUGUUUGCAUGUGUGCUUGUGUGUGAGUGUGUGUGUGUGUGUGUGUGUGUGUGUGUGUGUGUGUGUGUGUUUGAGGCAAUUAUAAAUGAUAUUCUUUUCCUGGUGUCUUUCUCUCUAUGUCUAUGUAGCUUUACAAAGUAAAAGUGAAGAUAGCUUACAUAAGUUAAACAAUUCAUAUUGGUCUUUCAAAUUAGGACUAAAUACUGUCUUUGGGGGAAAUGUCACCUCUUAGCUCUCCACUUUCUAUCUUUCCCUGCACAGCAAGCAUCUUUGCUUUGGUGACAGGGCAGACAGAGACAGUGAGACCUUGACUCUCACUGGUCCUUGUUUUUUAUUAGACAGAAUUACAUUUCUUGUGCUACUCUUUCUCUGGGAGCUGCUUGGUUUUGUCUUCCUGGGGUGACUGUCCUUACCAAGGGUGAGACCUUAUAUCUUUGAGAGGGUUUAAUUCAGGACAGAAAGUAGUAGAAAUUCAAUUUUGCCUUAAAUCCAAUUCACAGUCUCUUACCCGAGUCAGGGGCAGGGCUGGUAUUUUUUUCUUCAUCUGUCUGAUCCUUGUAUUUCUAAAGUUGGUCCCCCGUAGGGGAAAGGAGGUGUGAUUAAUUAUCACCCUCUCACUGCAACCACCACCAGGCAGUCUCUGCUGGGAAAGCAGGGGAAAUCGGCCUCCAGGAAGACAGAGCACAGGGGCUUGAAAAGACAAAUGGGGAUGAAACGCACAGCUCAAACGACACAUUAAUUCCUUCUUAUUAUAUGUAGUGUCUUCAGCUCUAGCUACAUGUCUUUCUCCCUUUGGGUUCCAAGAAAUACAUGGGAAUCUUUAGAAUAAUGUUCUUUGGGGAGUAGACCAGAAGCCAAAAACUUUCUAGGUAUUAUUUUUUCCUGUCAGGUUUGGAAAGUAUCUAAAUUAUGUUUUAGGAAAUAGUUUUACUACUUGAAGGAUUAGUCUCGCAUUGUUUUAAGAACACUCUAGUAACAGAUACCAAAGAAUACCACAGUCAAAGGCUUCUGUUCCAGUGUGGACAUCUUCAUCCUAAGCCUUACAGGUGGGAAAACAAAAGGAAUAGUGAGAAAGAAAUGGUGUAAAUGGAGUUCCAGGGCUCAAGUCACAAGCUGCCCUUUGUUUUAACUCAAUGUCCUGGAUCUAAAUGAAGAGGAGAUAGAGUCCUCUCUAGGUGGUGACACUGGGGGACAGGUAACUUCAGUCCAGAGACCACAAACGGACUGAAAAUUAGUUAGAUAAUGUCAAGUCAGUUAGUAAAAUUUUCACCAUAUAGGUCAUGUUAGAUAAAGAAUGUGAUCCUCCCAGUAGAGUUGAAAGGCAGCAAACCACAUGAGCUGACUAUGAUGGCUGUGCCUGUUUGGUCAAGGGUUACAGUGUAGAUUGUAGUGAUUCCUUUCACUGACUCUUGUAAGGAGACCUCCACUAUGCGAAAGUCCCACUCAGAGUCAUCGUGCAUGUGCCAAACUGAGAAGAGGGGGAGAAUUUGCAACUGGCAAAAAUCAUUUUGGUGGAGUCAAGGUAGGCAGGGAAAGAAGUCUUAGAAUAUUGUUGUUCUAAUUUGAGAGAAAUGAGUUUGACACUAAACAGACUUCCUCUGACACAAUUCCUUGAUGCCCAGCGUUAAUGGCUGUGGUAUUGCUUUGUGUCUUGCUGCUUUAAACACUCGGGGGUUGUUCAUACGGGUGGGUAUUCUUGCAGUGUCCAGUACUGAUGCCGGCUUCUCCCUUCUGUCUCCAAACUCCGUCUCCAGUUCUUUUACUUCAUCUUUUCCUCUACGAAAAGGAUCCACAUAGCCUGUCAAAGUCUUGGUCUUGAAAUCCUCCUGCAUCAGCCUCUUAGAUGGCUGGGUUUGCAGACCUGUGCCACCAGCCGUGAGUUCGCUACGGUUUUAGAGUAUAUUCCUACCCACUUGAAAGUUUUUCACGUAAACUAGCGUGUCACCCUGGCAACUGGCUCACAUAGCUCUUGGUUCCAACAAUUGGCUAUGCCGAGUGAUUGAUCUAUAUCAGCGCAGAUCAUCACACUGUGAGGAAAACGCCCAGGACACAGUUGUCAGGCCGUGUCCCUGUUAGUGAUUCAUGGGGCGUGCACGUCCAUCUGAAAAGUCCUUUUCUUCUGAGAAAAUGUUUUAGAAGAGCCUGAACAAAUGGAGUUAAAUCAUUGCCCGACUACCUGGAAAAACAGAGAAACACGACUACAAUGUGCACAAAUACAAGAGAUAUGUCAGCCAGUUGCCAGAGCAACACAUGUAAACUACAUACAAAACUUUAAAGUAGAUAGGAGUGUACUCUAAAAUCAUAGCAAAC